This is a long non-coding RNA of Suricata suricatta (meerkat), 547 nucleotides long. RefSeq lists it as uncharacterized. NCBI's taxonomy places the organism in Eukaryota, Metazoa, Chordata, Mammalia, Carnivora, Herpestidae. The record is from RefSeq and is a predicted model, not a curated record. The transcript is spliced from 4 exons.
GUGGACCCCAGGAGACUGAGCUCAACAGCGAGGUGGUUUCCUUAUCUCAUCCCAGCUUUGCCUCUUGUCUAGGUCUCCCACACCAGCUGAAGCCGAUCAAGAGAAUCCCAGAGUGAGAAGAAGAAACUAGUAAGGAGCUUCUAAGAUCCCAAGUCCUGAUUACAUUAGGUACCACGAAGCUGUGUGAGGAGCUGGAGGCCCAAAGAUGAAUAAGGCCGAGUGUGAUAUCAGUUACCAGCCUGAUGAGAGAGGCAGAGAGACACGUCAUCUGAUGAAUGAGAAUACCCCAUAACGAGUACUAGAAUCUACUCAAUACCCAUGCCUUCCAUCACCCAUGAUUUCAUAACCCAGAUUUUUGGGGGGAUGAUACCAGAUUGACAUAGCUGAUCCUGAAGAUCUAUAAUUCAGCUUCCCGCUGACUGGAUUCUUAUCUGUUCAAGCUGCCCUGAGGAUGACCAACAGUCCCUCAUGGUCAGAAGUCUAAUGUCACUGGCCCAGUUUUGGAAGAUAUUGUACUGAAUUGUUAGUAAUAAAGCCUGGCUUUCUA